Molecule: ribosomal RNA, 484 nt
Filed under: uncultured bacterium
Lineage: Bacteria
Description: partial 16S ribosomal RNA
Rfam family: Bacterial small subunit ribosomal RNA
Source: RNAcentral
AUUGAACGCUAGCGGGAUGCUUUACACGUGCAAGUCGAACGGCAGCGCGGACUUCGGUCUGGCGGCGAGUGGCGAACGGGUGAGUAAUGUAUCGGAACGUGCCCAGUAGCGGGGGAUAACUACGCGAAGGCGUAGCUAAUACCGCAUACGCCCUACGGGGGAAAGCAGGGGAUCGUAAGACCUUGCACUAUUGGAGCGGCCGAUAUCGGAUUAGCUAGUUGGUGAGGUAACGGCUCACCAAGGCGACGAUCCGUAGCUGGUUUGAGAGGACGACCAGCCACACUGGGACUGAGACACGGCCCAGACUCCUACGGGAGGCAGCAGUGGGGAAUUUUGGACAAUGGGGGCAACCCUGAUCCAGCCAUCCCGCGUGUGCGAUGAAGGCCUUCGGGUUGUAAAGCACUUUUGGCAGGAAAGAAACGUCGCGGGCUAAUACCCCGUGGAACUGACGGUACCUGCAGAAUAAGCACCGGCUAACUACGUG